Molecule: small nuclear RNA, 101 nt
Organism: Loxodonta africana (African savanna elephant)
Lineage: Eukaryota; Metazoa; Chordata; Mammalia; Proboscidea; Elephantidae
Source: Ensembl
GUGCUCGCUUCAGCAGCACAUAUACUAAAAUUGGAAUGAUACAGAUUAGUGUAGCCCUGCGCAAGGAUGACACGAAAAUUCAAGAAGCAUUCCGUAUUUUU